Molecule: small nuclear RNA, 160 nt
Organism: Nycticebus coucang (slow loris)
Lineage: Eukaryota; Metazoa; Chordata; Mammalia; Primates; Lorisidae
Product: U1 spliceosomal RNA
Exons: 1
Source: RefSeq, a predicted model, not a curated record
UUACUUACCUGGCAGAGGAGAUACCGUAAUCACAAAGGUGGUUUUCCCAGGGCGAGGGUUUUUCAUUGCACUCUGCACACACUGAGCCCUGCGAUUUCCCCAAAUGUGGGAAACUCAACUAUAUAAUUUGUGGUGGGGGACUGUUCACGCUCUACUCUUA